RNAcentral lists this ribosomal RNA (1989 nucleotides) under invertebrate metagenome. RNAcentral describes it as "bacterial LSU rRNA". It matches the Rfam family "Bacterial large subunit ribosomal RNA", at positions 630 to 2532 of the family's 2925-position model. The record is from RNAcentral.
ACAUCUCAGUAGCAAGGUUAAGGCGGUGACAGCCGUAGCCGUAGCGAAAGCGAGUCUGAAUAGGGCGUAUAGUUGCUGGGAGUAGACACGAAACCGGGUGAGCUAACCAUGGCCAGGGUGAAGCGGGAGUAAAGUUCCGUGGAGGCCCGAACAGUUGUAUGUUGCAAAAUGCUCUGAUGAGCUGUGGUUAGGGGUGAAAUGCCAAACGAACUCGGAGAUAGCUUGUUCUCCCCGAAACAGCUUUAGGGCUGGCGUUGCGCGAUGAGUACCGGAGGUAGAGCACUGGAUUGGCUAGGGGGCGUAUAGCUUACCAAACCAAACCAAACUCCGAAUGCCGGUAGAUUAAGCGCGGCAGUUGGACUGUGGGAGAUGAGUUCCAUGGUCAAGAGGGAAAGAGCCCAGACCGUCAGCUAAGGUCCCGAAGUGUGUGCUAAGUGGGAAAGGAUGUGAGAUUACUGAGACAGCCAGGAGGUUGGCUUAGAAGCAGCCACCCUUUAAAGAGUGCGUAAUAGCUCACUGGUCAAGUGAUUUUGCGCCGAAAAUGUAACGGGGCUCAAGCACACCACCGAAGCUACGGAUUUAAGAAGAGAAGCGAGAGUGAGGAGGAGAGAGUUAGUUUACUAACUUUUAAUUCUUAACUUUUAAUUCUUAAUUCUUAGAUGGUAGGGGAGCGUUGUGCAGGAGAGACAAGACGUACCGAGAGGAGCGUAUGAGGCCUGCACAAGUGAGAAUGUUGGUAUGAGUAGCGAAAGAUGUGUGAGAAACAUAUCCACCGUAAGUCUAAGGUUUCCGACGGAAGGUUAAUCCGCGUCGGGUUAGUCGGGCCUAAGCCGAGGCCGGAAGGCGUAGGCGAUGGACAACAGGUUAAUAUUCCUGUACCACCGGAGAGUAGUGAAGGCGUGACACAGGAGGGUAGGCCAGCCGGGUGAUGGAAGUCCCGGUGCGAAGCGUGUAGAGCGAAGACCCUUGCAGGAAAAUCCGUGGGGGUAGCUUGAGGCGUGAUAGCGGAGCCGUAUGGCCGGAAGUGGUUGAGCCCAAACUGUCAAGAAAAGCGUCUAAGCGAUGAUACUUAGGUGCCCGUACCGCAAACCGACACAGGUAGACGGGUAGAGAAUACCAAGGUGAUCGAGAGAACCCUCGUUAAGGAAUUCGGCAAAAUUGAUCCGUAACUUCGGGAAAAGGAUCGCCCCAUUGAGUGAAGGUUGAACGACUGGAGCUUAAGGGGGCCGCAGAGAAAAGGCCCUGUCGACUGUUUAACAAAAACACAGGUCUCUGCCAACUCGAAAGAGGAAGUAUAGGGGCUGACACCUGCCCAGUGCCGGAAGGUUAAAAGGAGGGGUUAGUGACUUCGGUUGCGAAGCUCUGAAUUGAAGCCCCGGUGAACGGCGGCCGUAACUAUAACGGUCCUAAGGUAGCGAAAUUCCUUGUCGGGUAAGUUCCGACCCGCACGAAAGGUGUAACGAACGGGGCACUGUCUCAACGAGGGACUCGGCGAAAUUGAACUGCGCGUGAAGAUGCGCGCUACCUGCAGCAGGACAAAAAGACCCCGUGGAGCUUUACUGUAGCUUGCUAUUGCGUUAGGGUAUUAUUUGUGCAGGAUAGCUGGGAGGCUGAGAAGCUGGCACGUCAGUGUCGGUGGAGCCAACGUUGAGAUACCAGCCUGAUGAUGCCUUGGCCCUAACCUGCGUCCGUGAAACCGGCGUGGAGACAGUGGCAGGUGGGCAGUUUGACUGGGGCGGUCGCCUCCUAAAGAGUAGCGGAGGCGCCCAAAGGUUCCCUCAGGCUGAAUGGAAACCAGUCUAAGAGUGUAAAGGCAUAAGGGAGCUUGACUGCAAGAGGGACAUCUCGAGCAGAGACGAAAGUCGGGCUUAGUGAUCCCACGGACCUGAGUGGAAGGGCCGUGGCUUACCGGAUAAAAGCUACCCCGGGGAUAACAGGCUAGUCUCCCCCAAGAGUUCACAUCGACGGGGAGGCUCGGCACCUCGAUGU